AGCAGCCGCGGUAAUUCCAGCUCCAAUAGCGUAUAUUAAAGUUGUUGCAGUUAAAAAGCUCGUAGUUGAAUUUCGGGAUUAGUACGUUGGUCGUGCCUUCGGUACGUACUGGUGUUACUGGUUCCUACCUUCUGACGAACCAUCAUGUCAUUAAUUUGGUGUGGCGGGGAAUCAGGACUGUUACUUUGAAAAAAUUAGAGUGUUUAAAGCAGGCUCGCGCUUGAAUACAUUAGCAUGGAAUAAUGAAAUAGGACGUUGACCCUAUUUUGUUGGUUUCUAGGAUUGACGUAAUGAUUAAUAGGGAUAGUUGGGGGCAUUAGUAUUCAAUUGUCAGAGGUGAAAUUCUUGGAUUUAUUGAAGACUAACUACUGCGAAAGCAUUUGCCAAGGAUGUUUCAUUAAUCAAGAACGAAAGUUAGGGGAUCGAAGACGAUCAGAUACCGUCGUAGUC
Molecule: ribosomal RNA, 450 nt
Filed under: uncultured Glomeromycotina
Lineage: Eukaryota; Fungi; Glomeromycota
Description: SSU rRNA
Rfam family: Eukaryotic small subunit ribosomal RNA
Source: RNAcentral